CAUCUCCUCCUUUGUGUUCACCCAUUUGAAAUCAUCUCCAUUCAGGAGAAAACAAGAUGGAACCCAGUGACUGGCCACCAUGGACACAUGCAAGGGAGAAGGAGAAGUCCCCAGUAGGAAAAGGAAUGUGUACAAUGAAAUGUAAUGAUGUAUAAUACAUUGGCUGUUUUUGAAUUCCAACCAUGGAUUUCCCAGCUACUGGCAGUGAAACUGAUCUUUUCUGUGACACGCCUGUCCCCCUUUGUCUUCUGCCAUGAGUGGAAACUUCCUGAGGCCUCACCAGAAGCUGAGCAGAUGCUGGUACCAAACUUGUACAGCCUGUAGAACCACAAGGCAAAUAAAUCUCUUUUUGAAAAU
RNAcentral lists this long non-coding RNA (357 nucleotides) under Homo sapiens (human). RNAcentral's name for it is "non-protein coding lnc-HRCT1-7:3". Lineage: Eukaryota; Metazoa; Chordata; Mammalia; Primates; Hominidae. The record is from RNAcentral.